This 385-nucleotide unclassified non-coding RNA is filed under the name Hevea brasiliensis (rubber tree). The record is from RNAcentral. Lineage: Eukaryota; Viridiplantae; Streptophyta; Magnoliopsida; Malpighiales; Euphorbiaceae.
AAAUCUUAGUUAAAUUUUAGAAAACUAGAAAACUAUUUUUUUAGUUCUUCAUUUGAAAAACUGGCAUAUGUGGAUAUGAAACUCUUUUUUCCUGUUUUCUUAGAAAAUUUUUCCAAAAACUGUUUUGCACAAGUGAACAGACCCUUAGCUCUUGCAGGAGAAAAAACAAAUUGAUUGAUUAUGGCAACUUGUGUUUCACAAGGAUAAGGUGUCAAAUGCCUUUUGUCCUUUAAUGCUUGCUUCCAGAUUGGUUGUUCCAUCUUCUUUUGGACCAUGAAGUUGGUCCUUGUGAUUAUCUUACUUACAGGCACUCUGCAUGCUGUGUGUGUUUGUGUGAGUUUUUUUUAGAGAGGGAGAGAGAAUUGCUGUUAAUUGUUCUCAAGGU